RNAcentral lists this long non-coding RNA (1972 nucleotides) under Phasianus colchicus (ring-necked pheasant). Its description in RNAcentral is "lncRNA (ENSPCLG00000005046.1)". Lineage: Eukaryota; Metazoa; Chordata; Aves; Galliformes; Phasianidae. The record is from RNAcentral.
AAGUAAAUUAAAUUUGAAUGGGUAGGAAGGAGAGCAAAAUUUAGCUUAGCUUGUCUUUUCUGUGAAAAAGUUAAUAUGGCACAGUGCCCAGGCAAAUUCAGCUUGCUCUGUGCUGUAGUGCUGUUCUGCAGCUAACAAACUAGACCUGACUUGCACCCUGCGUUAGCCUGGUGAGCAGACAUGCCCUAAGGGUAUGUCUAUGCUGUAGGACAGAGUUGAGACCUGGACUUGGUUUGGCAAACCUGAGCUCUUGGCCAGCAGGGGUGUGAUGUGAGGUGGGUGUCCUUGGCUCUGGGAUGGGGUGAGGAGGAGGAACAGGGAGGUGUCCAACCUCAGAAAGUCUUGUGAUGCAUCUGAGGAUUGAGGUUGGGUGGUAGAAGGGCAUUUGGGGCUGGCACAUGCUGUGCUCACUGAUGGGAUGCUCAUCCCAUGGAGAUCGUGCAGGAAGUCAUGGCCAGGAUCAUUUGUGUGAGGGCAUGUAACUGGAAAACUAUAAAAAUGGCAGGAAGAAGUAGAACUUGCUUCUAAUGAGAAGAAUGAAAGAUGCUGCAAUACAUACUAAAUUCCUUUCUUUUUCUUUCUUUUUUCAUUCCUUAUCUUCUGGUUGCAAGUUUCUGCUUCUCAAGUACCAGACUCUUCUGUGUUUGCUUUGUCUCUAAUCUACCACCUCUCCUAAUACAUGAGGAAAGUACUUCUACAACCUGAAUGAUUCCAUGAUUCUGUUUAGUGAUGGGACAAGGGGCUUUUUUUCUCUGAGCUGAGCAGUGUGCCACGAGAUAGAAAAUGAUGGCAAGGAGAUGGAGAGUGAAGGCACUGUGCCCAAGUCAAGGUGUGAGGAAGCCCCAGUGGUUGUGUUUGCUCACAGCCUGUUUUUCCACUGAAUGCUGCCAGCCUCCAGGCUGCUUGAACACCACAUGCUGCUUGCAUUGCUGUCUUCUCAUCUCCCACCCCUUGAUGUCCCCUAAGCCCUGAGGAUGCAGGAGAGCAUUGCUGGUGUUCCUUUAGAGUUUGAAGUAGUUUCUUUCCCCAAAGGUAUGCACCCAGAAGAAAUAGCUGCUCCCAAGCACCAGGUAAUGCUGAAUUACUACAGACUCCUGUUUGUGUGCUGUUCCUUUUAGCUACAAUUAUGGCAAAAUUGCCAUCGUGUAAGCAGCAGGCUGUAUGAAUAGCUUUAUUAUUUAUUAUUGUUAGACCUAGAUGUGUGUUUUUCUUUAGAUCAUAUCUGCACAAGAAGGCACAGCAAUAAUAGUCUUUUGGCUGCCGGAGCAUUAGCCAGGUUUAAUUUCUAAAGACCAUGAAGCUUCUGAAGCACGGUGCUGUUUAUUGCUUUCUUUGUCCAAUCAGUCACGGUGGAGAUGGCUCUGCUUUUUCCAGCUGAGUUCUUGUGAGGGUGGGCAGUCAGGUCGUGUUUGUGCUCCCUGGCUGGCAUCAGCGAAAAGUCUCUUGUUACAGCCCAGUGCCAGGCUAUUUUAAGCUGCAGGAUUCCCCUUUUAUGGAAUUAUUUUUCAUGUGAGUUUAACUCCGGUGCUCAUCGGCACUCUUUUCUGUUUCCUUCCUAUGUGACAUGAAAGCCAAUUUGGGGUAGCCAUAUAAUAGCUGUCUGAGUGUUGGAAACGUGACCAGAAAUGGAUCAAGAAGGAGGAAGAAGAGAUCGUGCCUUCUUUCCAAGGUCCUCUAUCAGGAGCUGAGGGGAUCGGCUUCUUUCACUGCUGGAUCUCAGUAUAUUUCGAAACAAUCCCAGGGUUUUGAAAGAGAAGGGUUUUGACAUUUACUGUUUGGUGUUGGCAGGGCUGGAUAAGGGAGAUAAAGUGGCCUGUGACAGAGCACACAAGCUAUCUGUGAUCUGUUGUGCAACGACCGUCAGCGAAUCUGCGUCUUUGUGUGUUUAAAGUGUAUUUCCUGACAUUUACUAGCAAUUUUAAAGGGAUUUACUCUUUGCUGUUUCAUAAUCUCUGGUUCAGAGUAAAUUUGC